This 309-nucleotide unclassified non-coding RNA is filed under the name Hevea brasiliensis (rubber tree). The record is from RNAcentral. Lineage: Eukaryota; Viridiplantae; Streptophyta; Magnoliopsida; Malpighiales; Euphorbiaceae.
AAAAUACCAACCAUUUGUUUACUUGCUGCUAAACAGUAGGUUGAAUUUCGGGGCAUUCUAUAACCAUCUUCCGCAGGAGCAUACCCUCUAUUCGUUACAGGUGAAAACGAAUCGGUAGGUGAAUCUCCAGGUCCAUACUCAUCAUCUGAUGAGCCCCAUCUGGAGACAUCACUUGGCCUUUGUCCGCAGGAAUAGUCACUAGGCCUAUGACCAGAUGAAUAAUCACUUGGCCUAUGAAAAGAGGUAUAGUCACUUGGUCUGCGAGAAGAUGAAAAGUCACUUGGCUUCCGCUCCCUAUUAGGAUCAAAA